RNAcentral lists this transfer RNA (68 nucleotides) under Marmota monax (woodchuck). RNAcentral's name for it is "tRNA.Ser". The record is from RNAcentral. Lineage: Eukaryota; Metazoa; Chordata; Mammalia; Rodentia; Sciuridae.
GUUGUGGCUCAGUGAUAGAACACUUGCCUAGAAUGUGCGAGGCACUGGGUUCGAUUCUCAGUACAACA